Cryptomeria japonica (Japanese cedar) is the source of this 801-nucleotide long non-coding RNA. RefSeq lists it as uncharacterized. The transcript has 3 exons. Lineage: Eukaryota; Viridiplantae; Streptophyta; Pinopsida; Cupressales; Cupressaceae. The record is from RefSeq and is a predicted model, not a curated record.
AUUGAAUUAGUGUAUAAUUAUUGUUAAUUAUUGUUUCAAUUCUGCUCUGUUUUCCGCAGAUCCCAAAAUUGAAAGGACUAUGACCUGAAUAAUUCAUAUUUCUAGUAAAUAGUAGAUAUUAAUAUCUACAAUUUAGUCAAAUUAAAAUUAAAAUUUAGAUAUUAAUCUCUUGCUGUCUUUUUUGCGAAGCCUCUUUUCCCCUCACUUAAGACUGUCCUACAACAAUAUGCAUUUAUUAUUUUUUGAUCAAAAGUAUUUGCUAUAUGUAAUAUUUGUUAAAACUUUUUGUCAAAUGAAAUAAUUGUCAUCCUGAUGAACUGCUGGUAUUAGCAGUGAGUAAUAGGUUAAGCACAAGGAAAGUCAGGCCACUUCAAACUCAGUGGUAGUAACCAGGAUCUAUUGCACUAUUUCAAAAAUAUUACAGUAAAGGUCAAGGAAUAGGGUUAAGAGUGCUGCAUCUGCUGAUCAUGUCGAUAAUCAAAGUCUAACACUUCAAUGGAAGCAAGCAUGUUGUCCUUCCUAUUAAGGUUGCUUCACCUUAUGGAGCAAAUUGUCCUAGGCAAUUUACAUUAUGAAGAAUUCUAAAUGUUGGAAACUCAAAGCUAUUUUUCAAAUCUAUAGAAUCAAGGUAAAUGUGAGCCUGUGUUGAGCAUGCUUGUAUGGGAUUUCCUUCAACAUUUUGACAAAAUAUAGCCCACCUGUGACAGCAGAGAGGGAAAAACACAUAAAUAUAUAUUACUUUGGUUUUAUUUGUUAUUACAAAUUUCAAUUUAUUUUAGACCAACACAUUUGGGUGCCUUA